CUGCUGUAAUGACCCCUGAUUAACGAGUUGAUUCUAACCCUGCUGUGCCCAGUUCCUCUACCUGAGAAGUGAGCUUUAACAAAGAAGGAGACAGGCUGCAUAAAAUUAAAACACCUGAUUUUGAACAAUUAGCUAGAUAUGGAAGGCUAAUCUUUCAGAUCAUCUUUCUAAAAAUGAAAAAAUGGACUAGAUCUCUGGUCCUUAAACUUGGCCAUCCAUCAGAAUCACCUGCAGAGCACAGAUUCUGGUUCAGUAGCUCUGGGGCAGGUCAAGAAUCUGCAUGUCUGACACUACCGCCUCUGCUGCCGACACUACCGCUUCUGCUGCCGUCACCACUGCCAGGUCUGCCCCACUCAAUGCUGGUGCUACCGGUCAGCCAGAACCACACUGCAUAUCCCUGGAAAGGGUGCUUGGUUGGAAGGCCUUUGUGAGAGAAACAGCCUUAGUGUCCCUCGUGCAUAAACUGAGGAUAAUAGUUGUCUGCUCGUGUUAUGUAGAUUUGUUGCGAGCACUAAAUGACUUAAUAUUUGUAGUGUUUAGAACUGUGUCUGAUACAAAGUAAUGGCCAUACAAGUGUUUUUAAGUAACAGUAAUUUUUAGAGUCCCAUGCCUAUUAUCCACAAGUAAACUCUAGUCUUAUACCUCUAGAACAAAUGAAAUCAACUUCCUUAGAUACAGCUGAAAUCCUGGCCUGAGUUCAGCUGAAAGCCUGGGCUUAGAUGGCUGGAAAACAAAAUAAGAAGUGUGAAUGUUCCUCAUAACUUUUCCCAGCCCUGGAGCACAGAUAACCUACAAGAUCUGGACUGAAUCUGCUGUUUCAGGCAGCAUGAUGCCCUGGGCUGGGCUGGAAGAGACAGGAACAGGCACAGGCCUUCCGUGGCUGCUGCCUUGGCCACUGAUGGCACAAUUAUCAUUCCCCACAACAGGGCCCAGCUAGCCUCAGAUCACCUCCCAGAGGCACCUCUGCUGAACUCUCCAUGACAUGUUGGUCCCACCAGUUUCUAUCAAUCACAUCCGCAUGCUGUUUCAUCACAAUAGUAACCACUGUUUAAAAUGACCUG
This 1061-nucleotide long non-coding RNA is filed under the name Homo sapiens (human). Its description in RNAcentral is "non-protein coding lnc-RASA2-3:1". Lineage: Eukaryota; Metazoa; Chordata; Mammalia; Primates; Hominidae. The record is from RNAcentral.